UGCUCACCAUUUCCCUCCAGAGGAUAACUUCUCUCUCAAAAAAAAAAAAAAAAAAAAAGUCUGAGAUAGGGCAAUUGAAAUACCCUGUGAAGAACAUUUUUCUCUGAAGGAACUGUAAAAUGAAUUCCACCCAUGUGUGUCUGAUUGGGCACCUAGAAAACAAGAAACUUGCAUACUGAGAUGAUGCUGAUAAUCACCAGUGACGUUACUGGGCUGGAUGCAGCAGGAGUUACAAAGCAAGGGGUGUUAGAGGAUCUGAUAGUAGGCAGAGUGGGGAGGAAAGCUCCAAUUCUAAUCACUAAGGGGUUGAAAGAAUGAUGAGUAACUGUGAAGCUGAGGCUGGAGGUACAGCAGAAAUGACUUAUCCUGGAUAACUUUACGUUUGUAAUGUGUGUAGAUUGCACUGCAGCAUUUAGAAAUAACUGACAUGCAG
Molecule: long non-coding RNA, 433 nt
Filed under: Anser brachyrhynchus (Pink-footed goose)
Lineage: Eukaryota; Metazoa; Chordata; Aves; Anseriformes; Anatidae
Description: lncRNA (ENSABRG00000019522.1)
Source: RNAcentral